RNAcentral lists this ribosomal RNA (474 nucleotides) under uncultured bacterium. RNAcentral describes it as "bacterial SSU rRNA". It matches the Rfam family "Bacterial small subunit ribosomal RNA", at positions 28 to 521 of the family's 1533-position model. The record is from RNAcentral.
GACGAACGCUGGCGGCGUGCCUAACACAUGCAAGUCGAGCGAAUGAAGUUCCUUCGGGAACGGAUUUAGCGGCGGACGGGUGAGUAACACGUGGGCAACCUGCCUCAUAGAGGGGAAUAGCCUUUCGAAAGGAAGAUUAAUACCGCAUAAGAUUGUAGUAUCGCAUGGUACAGCAAUUAAAGGAGCAAUCCGCUAUGAGAUGGGCCCGCGGCGCAUUAGCUAGUUGGUGAGGUAACGGCUCACCAAGGCGACGAUGCGUAGCCGACCUGAGAGGGUGAUCGGCCACAUUGGGACUGAGACACGGCCCAGACUCCUACGGGAGGCAGCAGUGGGAAUAUUGCGCAAUGGGGGAAACCCUGACGCAGCAACGCCGCGUGAAGGAUGAAGGUCUUCGGAUUGGAAACUUUGUCUUAUGGGACGAACACAGACGGUACCAUAGGAGAGCCAGGCUAACUACGUGCCAGCAGCCGCGGU